This is a long non-coding RNA of Vidua chalybeata, 1100 nucleotides long. RefSeq lists it as uncharacterized. NCBI's taxonomy places the organism in Eukaryota, Metazoa, Chordata, Aves, Passeriformes, Viduidae. The transcript is spliced from 3 exons. The record is from RefSeq and is a predicted model, not a curated record.
AGACCAUCUGUAUAGUUUUCAGUUCCAGAAGAUUCCAGUAACUCACCAAGUUUUAAUACUUUUUUUUUUUCUUCUUGUUACUCUGAUGGGCUGCCCUGAGAUAAGUGAUAAAAGCAAAAGCCUGACAUAAUUUCUUCGGAGCUAAAACUGCACAGAAGUUGCCAAUUCCUGUAUUUGUUUUCUUACGAGAAACUUGAAGCAGGCAUUUUCCACUCUUAACAAUUUUAAGAUUCUAUCAAGUCUUUAUUUUUUGGGUCAGAAAAAUAUUUUGGUGAAAACGAUUGCUAACAUAAUCUUAGAAAAUAUUUGAACAGGCAAUUCUGAAGUUUUUCCAGAGACUUGGUGUUAUAGAGACCAGUAGAGUGAAAUGAUCCCAUCAUCAAAAUACAUGCAAAGAAAGGAAGAGUGAAGGAAUCCAUAACACCAUGAGAGCUGCAUGGUCAACUCAUGUCACUUCUGUCAACCUGCUGAAUGCCAUGUAACACUGCCAGUGCUUGGAAGCACUGACUGCUGGCUUCUGCAAGACUGGAAGGAAAGGAAGACCUGGACACAUUGACUGCAUCUAAACUGUUAAACAAAAAUAGAGAAUUUUCCUGGAGGCCAGCUGGCAUGAAAGAGCUUGAAUCCAUGCAGAUAAACUCUCUUGCCCUCCAAGUCAUGGUGGCCACUUCCAAAAUAUCUUUUGGAGAUGGUGCCUGACUUGGGUCAAUACCCAAGCUGUGCUUUGGCAUUGUCUGGAAGAGCAUUAGCAGGCUUGCACCAAAACCAUGCCAGGGACCAAUUUAGUGGUAUGGAUGGAUUCGGGCCCAUGCCUUGCUGGUCUUGUUUAGUUUAUUUAAUGUCAGAGGGAAACCUCAGCAAUUCUGCCAGGAGUCAACAGGAAACCCCUUCUGGCCUCAGCAACCAGAAGCUGCUGAGAAGUAUAAAUAUUAGGUUGUUCACCUCCUUCACAUUUGGAUUCUUUUCCUCAUGUUAUUUUUUACCAAAUGAGCACUGAAAUUUUUUGAAAUCUCAUAGAGUAAUAAAAUUGGGUUGUUGCCUGCACAAAACUUGUUGGUUUUGAACUACCAAGAGAUUUCUCACACAAGUUGAGCUUCUGU